CCUACGGGAGGCAGCAGUGAGGAAUAUUGGUCAAUGGCCGGAAGGCUGAACCAGCCAAGUCGCGUGAGGGACGACUGCCCUAUGGGUUGUAAACCUCUUUUAUAAGGGAAGAAUAAAUGCUACGUGUAGCAUGAUGCCUGUACCUUAUGAAUAAGCAUCGGCUAACUCCGUGCCAGCCGCCGCGGUAAUACGGAGGAUGCGAGCGUUAUCCGGAUUUAUUGGGUUUAAAGGGUGCGUAGGCGGUUUUUUAAGUUAGUGGUUAAACGUCGGGGCUUCACCUUGAUUUGCCAUUAAUACUGUAAGACUCGAGUUCAGACGAGGUAGGCGGAAUAAGUUAAGUAGCGGUGAAAUGCUUAGAUAUAACUUAGAACUCCGAUAGCGAAGGCAGCUUACCGGACUGCGACUGACGCUGAAGCACGAGAGCGUGGGUAGCGAACAGGAUUAGAUACCCCAGUAGUC
Molecule: ribosomal RNA, 459 nt
Filed under: uncultured bacterium
Lineage: Bacteria
Description: partial 16S ribosomal RNA
Rfam family: Bacterial small subunit ribosomal RNA
Source: RNAcentral